CUCCCUUUGUGUAAAUGGGUUUGACUCUUGGCCAAAAGAAAGGUCAAUCAAAACAAGCAGUGACAUAUUAUCCAUCUCAAUUCGCCAUAGUAUGCCUCUCCAUUAAUUUCACAUUAAUGGUGAUACCCUAAGUAAGCACGAAAUCACUCACUUUGAGGGUGACUUUAAAUCACAAUUCAUGAACCAUAUUUCAAGGCUCGCACUCGUGCUCUUCAUCAAGCUCAUGGAGAAUCACCAAGCAUAAAAAACACAUGCCGAUUCAUACACACUAAACCCGAAGACCACCCACCACGUGACACUAUUAGUGGUUUCGAGUUGUUCAAGAUCAAGUCUUAAUGACCCUUGAAGAAAUCACAAGCCCGGUUCAAGAUAGUAUUCACCAGUCUUGAAAGAAAUUUGUCUUUAGAGAAAGGAAGUCAGUAACAAACCUUUGGAGAAAACCAGAAAGCUCUCUGGAAAAGAAAACGCCAAACACUCAUGUUCUUCAUCAAGCUUGAGGAGAAUCAAUAAGUCCAAUAAACAUGUGUCGAUUCAUGCACCAACAAAGCCAAGGAUCACCCACCACGUGAAGAUGCUCCUAGUCCCGUUUCAUUCAAGAUCAAGUCUCGAUGGCCCUUAAAGAAGCUUCCAGCCCAAUUCAAGAUCAAGUGUUCAUCACCAUUGAAUCGAGUCCUAUAUAGAGGGACUUCAAAGCACAAUGGUAAAAGUACAGUCACUAUGUGAAGGGACUUUAAAAUGCACAUUCUACAUGGGACAAGCACCUGUAUAUGCUGCACCUUGAAGUAGGGGCAUUUGGGACAUAGAAAUUUCGGUGAAAUAAAUAAUCACGAACACAUUAAAAAUUUCGACAUGUGAUGCGAAAUAUAUAAGCACACAAAUUAAACCCUCUUUUUGUCAAUUGUAGUAAAGAAUGUAAGUAGGGAUCGUUCUAGGCCGGGGAUUAGGAAGGAUUGCUAAAACACUUGAAACUGACUCAAAAACGUAAAACAAAGUUUAAAUCACUAAACUAGACUCAAAGAAUGCAAAACUAAACUAUAAAACACUAAAACAACUCAAAAGACUCAAAACAGCUCAAAACAAGCUAAAAGACUCAAAUCUGCCACUAAUAAAGAAUUUGGACGAAAACAGGUUGUAACUUGGUUCAAAACACUUAAAAACACAAACAAAAUCACUUUCUAACUAAUAUGACUCAACAAAGUAAAGGAGGGGGAUUGAUUUUGACGAAUUUGAAAACAAAACAAACAAGUUGUAAACUAAACAGAUUUUUGGACGAAUUUGGUUAAAUUGAAUGGAUGGAAGGCUAGCUAGGAGGUUCUUCUCCACACAUGUCACACUUGCAUACAAAACGAUUUCCAAUUGCUUUUCAAUAAACCAUGAAUUCUCAAUGCCGCAGAUUAACCGUGAAUUGCACUAAUUAACCCUCAGAUUUUCCUAAAGUUAUUGAAUUGGAUGAUUGCAUACGACAACCCAAAGUAUUCCCCACAAGUUCCCUACAUGAAUUGCAUAAUAGAGAUACAAGAAAGAAUCAUUAAAUUCUAUGAAAAUCAUAAGCAUUGACGAGGCACUUGUUACUAUGAAUUGCAUGAAACUUAUGCCAAGAAUUUACUUAACGCGAUUGUGAUUAACAACCUUUACUACUUGUGAAUAUAAGUUCAUAACGAUUAGGUGAAACUCCCUUAUAUCCUAGCAUUAGAUUUAUGCAUGAAAAUUAAGCGUGCACUCUCAACCAACAUACGCAAAUCAGUUUUAAUUCAUAUAGAUAAGUAAAUUGAAUUCACAACUUAUGAAACACAAUUAGAAAUAAUCAAAUCAUAUUGCAAGCAUAAACAUG
RNAcentral lists this long non-coding RNA (1831 nucleotides) under Malus domestica (apple). RNAcentral describes it as "long non-coding RNA (MDOM_LNC002752)". Lineage: Eukaryota; Viridiplantae; Streptophyta; Magnoliopsida; Rosales; Rosaceae. The record is from RNAcentral.